GGGCUCUCCUCCACAGUGAGUCUACUUCACCACCCAGCUGGGAUCUCAGUGCUUUCUUUUCUGUCCUCCUCCAGGAUGGGCUCAACCGUCAUCCUUUCCCUCGUCCUGGCUGUUCUCCAAGGAGUCUUUGCCGAGGUGCAGCUGGUGCAGUCUGCAGCAGAGGUGAAAAGGCCCGGGGAGUCUCUGAGGAUCUCCUGUAAGGGUUCUGGAUACAGCUUUACCAGCUACUGGAUCCACUGGGUGCGCCAGAUGCCCGGGAAAGAACUGGAGUGGAUGGGGAGCAUCUAUCCUGGGAACUCUGAUACCAGAUACAGCCCAUCCUUCCAAGGCCAUGUCACCAUCUCAGCCGACAAGUCCAUCAGCACCGCCUACCUGCAGUGGAACAGCCUAAAGGCCACGGACACCGCCAUGUAUUAUUGUGUGAGAGUCCGGGGAGGAAACACUGGCUGUUUGUGUCCUCAGGAGCAAGAACCAGAGAACAACAUGGGAGGGUUCCCAGCCCCUAAGGCAACUGGAUGGGAGACCUGACCCAUCCAGUUCUCUGACGGGGCUCUUGUGUGUUCUACAAGGUUGUUCAUGGUGUGUAUUACAUGGUUAACAUCAAAAGGCUGCCCAAUAGGCACCUCUUCAGUAUGAUAGUCUUUUAAUUAGUGAAAAUUUUACACAGUUCAUCAUUGCUCGCUUGCCUUCCUCCCUCCUAUCCACUCUUACUCCCUCUUUCUUUUAUUUUCUACUUACUUUUCCAAAAUCAUUUAAUCCAUUUUUGUACUGUUAAUAGGUUAUCUUGUUUUUGUUAUUGUUUUCCUUUUAAAAAUAUGCACUGAAUAAUUCAUCUUUGUGCCAAUUUGUAAGUAUUUUGAUAUAACAAAGACUUCCUUCAUAAAUAGAUUUCCUGUGAGUAAUCUUGCAAAUAUUUUAGAACCUGUUUGGUUAAGGAUAAAUUUAAAAAAAUAGAUAAAUUUUUAAAGACAUACAACCUAUCAAAACUGAACCACCAAGAAAUAAAAAAUCUGGGCUGGG
Symphalangus syndactylus (siamang) is the source of this 1020-nucleotide non-coding RNA. The record is from the annotation of a RefSeq genome assembly. Lineage: Eukaryota; Metazoa; Chordata; Mammalia; Primates; Hylobatidae.